UUCCAAAGCGUUAAAGCUUAUUUCUAGAUCAUUUUAAUCCCAACAUCAACUCUUAACCCAUUAUUUCUACUAAGUAAUUUUAUACUUUUAUAAAAGCUAUUAUGCUAGAACUAGUAACAAGAAAUGGUACUUCUCCAAAAUGGUAGUUAAAGCCACCAUGGACAACCCACUGGCAAUUAACGUAACUGAUUUAUAUAUAAUAACCUCGCUAGAAAACCUUAUAAGUUUUAACGUUAAUCUUACACAAGCCCAUUUCCGGAAAGAUUAAAAGAAAAAGAAGGAACUCGGCAAUUCAUGACCUCGCCUGUUUACCAAAAACACCGCCUCUUGACAAGAUAUAAGAGGUCCCGCCUGCCCAGUGACAAGAUUAAACGGCCGCGGUACUCUAACCGUGCAAAGGUAGCACAAUCACUUGUCCUCUAAAUAAGGACUAGAAUCAACGGCAUCACGAGGGUCUUACUGUCUCCUUUUUCCAAUCAGUGAAACUGAUCUUCCCGUGAAGAAGCGGGAAUAACUUUAUAAGACGAGAAGACCCCAUGGAGCUUCAAACUCAUCAGUUACCCUAUGCAAAUUACACGACAAUUUAGGGGGUUAUCUGCCAGUUUUGGGUUGGGGUGACCACGGAGAAUAGCAUAACCUCCGCAAUGAAAAAGAAUAACAUCUUUAUCUGAGAACCACACCUCUAAGAAUUAAAAAAUUAACAUAUAAUGUUCCGAUACUUUGUAUUCGAUCAAUGAACCAAGUUACCCUGGGGAUAACAGCGCCAUCCACUUUGAGAGUUCAUAUCGACAAGUGGGUUUACGACCUCGAUGUUGGAUCCGGGUUUCCACGUGGUGCCGCC
RNAcentral lists this ribosomal RNA (841 nucleotides) under Ptychadena perreti (Perret's grassland frog). RNAcentral's name for it is "partial 16S ribosomal RNA". It matches the Rfam family "Bacterial large subunit ribosomal RNA", at positions 1501 to 2560 of the family's 2925-position model. The record is from RNAcentral. Lineage: Eukaryota; Metazoa; Chordata; Amphibia; Anura; Ptychadenidae.